GACGAACGCUGGCGGCGUGCUUAACACAUGCAAGUCGAGCGACGGCUCCUUUCGGGGGUGUACGGAGCGGCAACGGGUGAGUAACACGUGAGCAACCUGCCCUUGGCUUUGGGAUAACCCGAGAAACUCGAGCUAAUACCGGAUGUACUCCUCUGGUCGCAUGGCCGGUUGAGGAAAGAUUUAUCGCUUCNGGAGGGUCUCGCGGCCUAUCAGCUAGUUGGUGGGGUAACGGCCCACCAAGGCGUCGACGGGUAGCUGGUCUGAGAGGACGAUCAGCCACACUGGGACUGAGACACGGCCCANACUCCUACNGGAGGCAGCAGUGGGGAAUCUUGCGCAAUGGGCGAAAGCCUGACGCAGCAACGCCGCGUGCGGGAUGAAGGCCUUCGGGUUGUAAACCGCUUUCAGGAGGGACGAAAUUGACGGUACCUCCAGAAGAAGCCCCGGCCAACUACGUGCCAGCAGCCGCGGUAACACGUAGGGGGCAAGCGUUGUCCGGAUUUAUUGGGCGUAAAGAGCUCGUAGGCGGCUUAGUAAGUCGGGUGUGAAACCUCCAGGCCCAACCUGGAGACGCCACCCGAUACUGCUGUGGCUAGAGUCCGGUAGGGGAGCGUGGAAUUCCUGGUGUAGCGGUGAAAUGCGCAGAUAUCAGGAGGAACACCAGCGGCGAAAGCGGCGCUCUGGGCCGGUACUGACGCUGA
This 701-nucleotide ribosomal RNA is filed under the name uncultured Actinomycetes bacterium. RNAcentral describes it as "bacterial SSU rRNA". It matches the Rfam family "Bacterial small subunit ribosomal RNA", at positions 28 to 749 of the family's 1533-position model. Lineage: Bacteria; Bacillati; Actinomycetota; Actinomycetes. The record is from RNAcentral.